GGUUAGGGUUAGGGUUGGAGUUAGGGUUAGUGUUGGAGCUAGGGUUAGGGUUGGGCUUGGAGCUAGGAUUUUUCUGAGUGCAAUGAACCAACUCCCGAGUCUCUAGGACGUUCCUAAAAAAAUUUGAUUUUUUCCCAUAGGAAUGCAUGGGUUAGGGUUAGGGUUAGGGUUGGAGCUAGGGUUAGGGUUAGGGUUAGGGUUGGAGUUAGGGUUAGUGUUGGAGCUAGGGUUAGGGUUGGGCUUGGAGCUAGGAUUUUUCUGAGUGCAAUGAACCAACUCCCGAGUCUCUAGGACGUUCCUAAAAAAUUGAUUUUUUCCCAUAGGAAUGCAUGGGUUAGGGUUAGGGUUAGGGUUGGAGCUAGGGUUAGGGUUAGGGUUAGGGUUGGAGUUAGGGUUAGUGUUGGAGCUAGGGUUAGGGUUGGGCUUGGAGCUAGGAUUUUUCUGAGUGCAAUGAACCAACUCCCGAGUCUCUAGGACGUUCCUAAAAAAAUUUGAUUUUUUCCCAUAGGAAUGCAUGGGUUAGGGUUAGGGUUAGGGUUGGAGCUAGGGUUAGGGUUAGGGUUAGGGUUGGAGUUAGGGUUAGUGUUGGAGCUAGGGUUAGGGUUGGGCUUGGAGCUAGGAUUUUUCUGAGUGCAAUGAACCAACUCCCGAGUCUCUAGGACGUUCCUAAAAAAAUUUGAUUUUUUCCCAUAGGAAUGCAUGGGUUAGGGUUAGGGUUAGGGUUGGAGCUAGGGUUAGGGUUAGGGUUAGGGUUGGAGUUAGGGUUAGUGUUGGAGCUAGGGUUAGGGUUGGGCUUGGAGCUAGGAUUUUUCUGAGUGCAAUGAACCAACUCCCGAGUCUCUAGGACGUUCCUAAAAAAAUUUGAUUUUUUCCCAUAGGAAUGCAUGGGUUAGGGUUAGGGUUAGGGUUGGAGUUAGGGUUGGAGCUAGGGUUAGGGUUAGGGUUAGGGUUGGAGUUAGGGUUAGUGUUGGAGCUAGGGUUAGGGUUGGGCUUGGAGCUAGGAUUUUUCUGAGUGCAAUGAACCAACUCCC
This is a non-coding RNA of Xyrichtys novacula (pearly razorfish), 1031 nucleotides long. Lineage: Eukaryota; Metazoa; Chordata; Actinopteri; Labriformes; Labridae. The record is from the annotation of a GenBank genome assembly.